Molecule: ribosomal RNA, 444 nt
Filed under: uncultured Eubacteriales bacterium
Lineage: Bacteria; Bacillati; Bacillota; Clostridia; Eubacteriales
Description: bacterial SSU rRNA
Rfam family: Bacterial small subunit ribosomal RNA
Source: RNAcentral
UGUGGUUUAAUUCGAAGCAACGCGAAGAACCUUACCAGGGCUUGACAUGCCGCUGACCGGUGCAGAGAUGCAUCUUUAUCCUUCGGGGUACAGCGGACACAGGUGGUGCAUGGUUGUCGUCAGCUCGUGUCGUGAGAUGUUGGGUUAAGUCCCGCAACGAGCGCAACCCUUGUCUUUAGUUGCCAUCAUUAAGUUGGGCACUCUAAAGAGACUGCCGAUGACAAAUCGGAGAAGGUGGGGAUGACGUCAAAUCAUCAUGCCCUUUAUGUCCUGGGCUACACACGUGCUACAAUGGUCGGUACAACGAGAAGCAAGCCAGCGAUGGCAAGCAAAUCUCUAAAAGCCGAUCCCAGUUCGGAUUGCAGGCUGCAACUCGCCUGCAUGAAGUCGGAGUUGCUAGUAAUCGCGGAUCAGAAUGCCGCGGUGAAUGCGUUCCCGGGUCUU